This 495-nucleotide ribosomal RNA is filed under the name uncultured bacterium. RNAcentral describes it as "partial 16S ribosomal RNA". It matches the Rfam family "Bacterial small subunit ribosomal RNA", at positions 899 to 1397 of the family's 1533-position model. The record is from RNAcentral.
ACUCAAAGGAAUAGACGGGGGCCCGCACAAGCAGCGGAGCAUGUGGUUUAAUUCGAAGCAACGCGAAGAACCUUACCUGGACUUGACAUCCCCUGAAUAGUGCAGAGAUGCAUGAAGCCCUUCGGGGCAGGGAGACAGGUGGUGCAUGGUUGUCGUCAGCUCGUGUCGUGAGAUGUUAGGUUAAGUCCUGCAACGAGCGCAACCCCUAUUAUUAGUUGCUACCAUUAAGUUGAGCACUCUAGUGAGACUGCCCGGGUUAACCGGGAGGAAGGUGGGGAUGACGUCAAAUCAUCAUGCCCCUUAUGUCCAGGGCUACACACGUGCUACAAUGGUAGGUACAGAGAGAUGCAAGACCGCGAGGUGGAGCCAAACUCAAAAACCUAUCUCAGUUCGGAUUGUAGGCUGCAACUCGCCUACAUGAAGCCGGAGUUGCUAGUAAUCGCGAAUCAGAAUGUCGCGGUGAAUACGUUCCCGGGCCUUGUACACACCGCCCGU